Molecule: unclassified non-coding RNA, 601 nt
Filed under: Hevea brasiliensis (rubber tree)
Lineage: Eukaryota; Viridiplantae; Streptophyta; Magnoliopsida; Malpighiales; Euphorbiaceae
Source: RNAcentral
GGAUGCCAAAGAAAGCCAGAACUCCUGUUUUGAAGAUAAAGGUAAAGCUGCAAACCAUUGUGUCUUCCUCCAUUAACUAAUACCUCAUGUAAUUCUUCUCCUGCCACUUGCUGUCCAUUACGCGAAUAAUGUGUGGACUUCAAACUUGGCCCUGUAAAUGUAUCCUCUUAAAAGUUAUAUUCAUAAACCUUCUUGAAUCACAAAGUGGCAUGCAAAUGCAAAUGCAAAUGCAAUUUACUUGACCUGAGCAUGCAAAAAUAAAAUUUGACAUGACACUUGCACCAUAAGAAGUCUUCGAAUAUGAAUCCUAUGUUUAGUAACUUAUGAACAUCUAUUAACUUCCAAAGCAAGCACCCCUGCUCCUGCUCUCCUUGUCCAUUGAAAGCAAAUCAGCAGCAAAAGCUGAUGACUAACAAAACCUUAGAAUACCUAUUUCCAACAUGAAUACACAGAGAGAGUCAAAUCAUACAGAAAACAGCCUUGGCUCCUAAUAUUGAAAAAAAAAACUUAAAUAUGAUUAAUUUAAUAACAUAUUUUAAAUAUUUUAAUAAUCAUCUUUUUCUAAAUUGUUUUUUUACCAAUAUUUAAAAUAAUAAUUUAA